GGGAAUGUGGCUUAGUGGUAGAGUGUUUGCCUAGUAUGCAUGAAGCCCUGGGUUCGAUUCCUCAGCACCA
This 70-nucleotide transfer RNA is filed under the name Dipodomys ordii (Ord's kangaroo rat). It matches the Rfam family "tRNA". From Rfam's summary of the family: Transfer RNA (tRNA) molecules are approximately 80 nucleotides in length. The record is from Rfam by way of RNAcentral. Lineage: Eukaryota; Metazoa; Chordata; Mammalia; Rodentia; Heteromyidae.